AUUGGUGGCAGAUGCUGAAGUUGUAGUUCCACCAGGUUUUGGACCCUCUAGUUAUAAAAUUUAGACAAAAAAAUAAUUUAAUUAUGAUCUGUACACAAACCAAAAACAUUUCUUUUUUUCAGUUGAUUAAAGUCAAAAAGAGUGGUGAAUUUAAGACUUAUAAAGAAUACCGUCAUGUAAAUUUUUGUUUUCUUCACUCACCUAGAGUUGAAACUGUAAUGGGAUUAAAGGACACAAGGAAGGAAUUGCUAGGGUCACUUGCAGCAGCACUCAAGGUCUCAGCAACAACUUUAUUUAGUGGGAGUUCAUUAGACGGGGUGCUCGGCUUGAAGAGAACCGCCAGAACCACUCCAAGUAUUUUAGUUCGUGUUGCCACAAAACUGUAUAGAAAAAAAUUGGUGAAAAAACAUGCAUAUUUAAUGUUUUGUAAAACACAAGUCAACAAUGUAAGUGGCUUUAUAAGACAACAAUGAAAAAAGACAGAUCUAAUAUCAAAAGUUUGUUAACAAGAUUGAAGGUAUUUACCUGAAACGCUUCACUUCACACUUAAGAAAUAUAUUGCCAAAUUCUGCUCUAUAGAUUUCCUCACACUGUUGUAAAAUAAGGGAAAAAGAAGACAGCAUGGUGAAUGAACAUUGAAAUAUGGUAUGGAACACUAUUCUGAAGAUGAAUUUCCAAUUAGUUAAAACUUUUCAAAAGAAACUAAUGAAAUUUAAGAUAACCUUGUUUAACUAUUGCUAUUAUUGGUUUUAAAUGAGACAGACGCAUUAUAAAUUUUGAAAUAAUUCCCAAACAACUUACUGAUGAGACGACUCGGAUUUCAAGUGCUUGAAAUUGAGAGCUCUGGGGGUUCUGAAGUUGAAGAGUAAAGGUUUCAUUAAACAACUGUGCUUGAACUAAAUAGGUAGGGACAGCAGAGGUGGUUGGUAAUGAAGUUGUUGGAGCAGCUGUUGCUGUUUUGGCUACUGUUGUGGUUGGAGUAGCUUUAGUUGUUGAAGCAGCUGUAGUGGUGGUGAGGGAAGCUGUAGUGGUGGUUGGGGAAGCUGUAGUUGUCGUUUUGGCAGCUGUAAAAAGAGCAGCUGUGGUUGGGGCAGUCGUGGUGUUAAGAGCAGCUGUGAUAGUGGUUGGAGCUACUGUCAUUGUAGUUAGGGCAGCUGUUGUUGUUGGUGCACCUGUAGAGGUUGUUGGUGCAUCUGUUGUAGUAGUUGAAACAGUUGUUGAUGUGGUUGGUGCAGCUGUAGUUGUGGUUGGUGUAGCUUUUGUAGUCGUUGAAACAUUUGCUGGUGUAGUUGGUGCAUCUGUUGUUGCUUUCAAACGAACUGUAGUUGUGGUUGGUAUAGCUGUUGUAGAAUUUGAAACAGUUGUUGAUGUGGUUUGUGCAGCUGAUGUUUUGGUUGUUGUUGCAAUUGGUAUCGUUGAAAAAGUUGUUGAUGUCUCUGUUGCAGCUGUUGCUUUCAAGCUUACUGUAGUUGUGGUGGAGGCAGCUGUACUGGUGGUUGGUGCAUCUGUAGUUGUCAUUAAAACAGUUGUUGAUGCGGUUGGUGCAGCUGUAGUUGUGGUUGAGCUAGCCUUCGUUGUGGUUUUUGCAGCUUUUGUAGUCGUUAGUGCACCUAUCGUUUGGGGUGGUGUAGAUGUUGUAGUCACUGAAACAGCUGUUGUUGUGGUUAAUGUUGCUGUUGUUGUGGAUAUUGCGGUUGGUGCAGCUAUUGUAAUUGAUCUAGCAGUAGUUAUGGUUGGUGCAGCUUUAGUUGUGGUUUUUAUAGCUGUUGUAGAGGUUGAAACAGUUGUUGAUGUGGUUGGUGCAGCUGUAGUUGUGGUUGGUGUAGCUGUUGUAGUCGUUGAAACAGUUACUGGUGUUGUUGGUGCAUCUGUUGUUGCUUUCAAGCUAAAUGUAGUUGCGGUGGAGGCAGCUGUAGUUGUGGUUUGCAUAGCUGUAGUGGUGGUUGGUGCUUCUGUAGUUGCUGUUGAAAUACUUGAUGAUAUUGAUGGUGAAGCUGUUGCUGUGGUUGAGCUGGCCUGAGUUGUGGUUUUUGCAGAUUUUGUAGUGGAUGGUGCAC
Molecule: long non-coding RNA, 2057 nt
Filed under: Xyrichtys novacula (pearly razorfish)
Lineage: Eukaryota; Metazoa; Chordata; Actinopteri; Labriformes; Labridae
Source: RNAcentral